UGGAUCACCUCCUAACAGGGAGACAACAAAAUGUUUAAUAUUAUUAUUUUGUCACCUUAGGUCGAUCGGUAUCUCACGUUCUUAAUUUAUUAAGAAUUUCAUUUCCUAAGUUUUUCUAGGUCACACCCAUUAUUUUUCCUGGGCCAUUAGCUCAGGUGGUUAGAGCGCACCCCUGAUAAGGGUGAGGUCCCUGGUUCAAGUCCAGGAUGGCCCACAUCUCUAUGUUGGGGGUAUAGCUCAGUUGGUAGAGCGCCUGCUUUGCAAGCAGGAUGUCAGCGGUUCGAGUCCGCUUACCUCCACUGAUUACCACCUCUUCCAUAAUCUUUAGAUAAGGAAAUUUUUUGAGUUGUGAUCAAAUACUGAACGAAUCUAGCUUCCUAAUGAAAUUAUUAAGAUGCUGGACUCAUUGAAUUAAAUUCAUUGUUUUCAGAGAACCUUGACAACUGCAUAGAUUAUUUUUAAAGACAAUAAGCAUCUUUAAUGAUGCAGAUUUAUUAUUUGUGCGAAUGCAUUAAUAACAAUUCUAUUAAGCUGAUGCUUCAAUUUUGAAGUUAUUGGUCAAGCUACAAAGGGCUCACGGAGGAUACCUAGGCACACAGAGGCGAUGAAGG
This 611-nucleotide transfer RNA is filed under the name uncultured Prochlorococcus sp. Its description in RNAcentral is "partial contains 16S ribosomal RNA, 16S-23S ribosomal RNA intergenic spacer, and 23S ribosomal RNA". The stretch from base 227 to 299 matches the Rfam family "tRNA". Lineage: Bacteria; Bacillati; Cyanobacteriota; Cyanophyceae; Synechococcales; Prochlorococcaceae. The record is from RNAcentral.